GAUGAACGCUGGCGGCGUGCCUAAUACAUGCAAGUCGAGCGAACGGACGAGAAGCUUGCUUCUCUGAUGUUAGCGGCGGACGGGUGAGUAACACGUGGAUAACCUACCUAUAAGACUGGGAUAACUUCGGGAAACCGUAGCUAAUACCGGAUAAUAUUUUGAACCGCAUGGUUUAAAAGUGAAAGACGGUCUUGCUGUCACUUAUAGAUGGAUCCGCGCUGCAUUAGCUAGUUGGUAAGGUAACGGCUUACCAAGGCAACGAUGCAUAGCCGACCUGAGAGGGUUAUGGGCUGCACUUGCACUGAGACACGCUCCUAACUCUAACAGGUAGCAGGAGUAUGGUAUCUUCGGCAAUGAACGAAUGCAUGACGAAGCAAAGACGCGCCAGUGAUGAAAAUCUUUGGGUCGUAAAGCACUGAAAUUCUGGAAAAAAAUCUAUGUAUGUCAAUGUGCACAGCUUCACGGUACCUAAACAGAGAGCCGCGGCUAACGAAGGA
Molecule: ribosomal RNA, 497 nt
Filed under: uncultured bacterium
Lineage: Bacteria
Description: partial 16S ribosomal RNA
Rfam family: Bacterial small subunit ribosomal RNA
Source: RNAcentral